UUUAACUUGGUGUGAGUCCCGCCU
Molecule: non-coding RNA, 24 nt
Filed under: Arabidopsis thaliana (thale cress)
Lineage: Eukaryota; Viridiplantae; Streptophyta; Magnoliopsida; Brassicales; Brassicaceae
Source: RNAcentral